AGAGUGAACGCUGGCGGCAGGCCUAACACAUGCAAGUCGAACGGCAGCACAGGGGAGCUUGCUCCCUGGGUGGCGAGUGGCGGACGGGUGAGGAAAACGUCGGAAUCUGCCUAUUUGUGGGGGAUAACGUAGGGAAACUUACGCUAAUACCGCAUACGACCUACGGGUGAAAGCGGAGGACCUUCGGGCUUCGCGCAGAUAGAUGAGCCGACGUCGGAUUAGCUAGUUGGCGGGUAAAGCCCACCAAGGCGACGAUCCGUAGCUGGUCUGAGAGGACGAUCAGCCACACUGGAACUGAGACACGGUCCAGACUCCCGACGGGAGCAGCAGUGGGAAUAGUUGGACAAGUGGGCGCGAAGCCUGGACUCCGAGCCAUGCCGCGUGUGUGAAGAAGGCCUUCGGUUGAAGUCUA
This 412-nucleotide ribosomal RNA is filed under the name uncultured soil bacterium. RNAcentral's name for it is "bacterial SSU rRNA". It matches the Rfam family "Bacterial small subunit ribosomal RNA", at positions 26 to 432 of the family's 1533-position model. The record is from RNAcentral.